UACGUAGGCAGCAAGCGUUGUUCGGAGUUACUGGGCGUAAAGAGUGCGUAGGCGGUUUCGUAAGUUUGGUGUGAAAUCUCCCGGCUUAACUGGGAGGGUGCGCCGAAAACUGCGGGGCUGGAGUGUGGGAGAGGUAAGCGGAAUUCCUGGUGUAGCGGUGAAAUGCGUAGAUAUCAGGAGGAACACCGGCGGUGUAGACGGCUCACUGGCCCGAUACUGACGCUGAGGCACGAAAGCGUGGGGAGCAAACAGG
RNAcentral lists this ribosomal RNA (253 nucleotides) under uncultured bacterium. RNAcentral describes it as "partial 16S ribosomal RNA". It matches the Rfam family "Bacterial small subunit ribosomal RNA", at positions 524 to 776 of the family's 1533-position model. The record is from RNAcentral.